Molecule: non-coding RNA, 30 nt
Filed under: Mus musculus (house mouse)
Lineage: Eukaryota; Metazoa; Chordata; Mammalia; Rodentia; Muridae
Source: RNAcentral
UGGCCAUGACCUACUUUUCGUUCAGCCGGU